Non-coding RNA from Cherax quadricarinatus, 576 nucleotides. The record is from RefSeq and is a predicted model, not a curated record. Lineage: Eukaryota; Metazoa; Arthropoda; Malacostraca; Decapoda; Parastacidae.
GGGGAUUACCAGUAGACCCCUGGCUGUCUUGAAGAAAGCACUGGACAGGCACCUAAAGUCAGUACCUGACCAACCAGGCUGUGGUUCGUACGUCAGCUUGCGUGCGGCAAGCAGUAACAGCCUAGUUGAUCAGACCCUGAUCCACCAUGAGGCCUGGUCUCAGACCGGGCCGUGGGGGCAUUGCCCCCUGAAACCCUCUCCAGGUAACUGGCUAAGGGGGUUUGUGGGAUGCUAGCACAAACAACCUGGUUGACCAAGUCAUCAACAGGAAGCCUGACCCCAGGCUGAGCUGCUGAGGUAGAGGAUCCUCAAAACUAGUCACAAGUCAGGUUAAGGGAGUGGUGAUCAGUCACUGGUGCCAGUGAUGGCACGAGUGCCGGAGGAGAUGGAGGAAGUGUUGGCAUCAGAUAAAACUCAAGAUUUCUCUGCAGUUGGGGCUCUUGGUUGGACAUAUAGAAGACAUCAUACUUAGUAAUGAGUUUUCCACCCUGAGAGAAAACUUCCUAAAGAAACACUGUCACCUAUUUGAUGAUAAUGAUGAGAACAAACUGGAAUACAUGGAUAUUUUCAAACAAA